UACGUAGGUGGCAAGCGUUGUUCGGAUUCAUUGGGCGUAAAGGGUGCGUAGGCGGCGCGGUAAGUCGGGUGUGAAAUCUCGGAGCUUAACUCCGAAACUGCAUUCGAUACUGCCGUGCUUGAGGACUGGAGAGGAGACUGGAAUUUACGGUGUAGCGGUGAAAUGCGUAGAUAUCGUAAGGAAGACCAGUGGCGAAGGCGGGUCUCUGGACAGUUCCUGACGCUGAAGCACGAAGGCCAGGGGAGCAAACGGG
RNAcentral lists this ribosomal RNA (253 nucleotides) under uncultured bacterium. RNAcentral describes it as "partial 16S ribosomal RNA". It matches the Rfam family "Bacterial small subunit ribosomal RNA", at positions 524 to 776 of the family's 1533-position model. The record is from RNAcentral.